Molecule: ribosomal RNA, 656 nt
Filed under: bacterium sp. R2A-42
Lineage: Bacteria
Description: bacterial SSU rRNA
Rfam family: Bacterial small subunit ribosomal RNA
Source: RNAcentral
GACCCUGGUAGUCCACGCUGUAAACGAUGUCGACUUGGAGGUUGUGCCCUUGAGGCGUGGCUUCCGGAGCUAACGCGUUAAGUCGACCGCCUGGGGAGUACGGCCGCAAGGUUAAAACUCAAAUGAAUUGACGGGGGCCCGCACAAGCGGUGGAGCAUGUGGUUUAAUUCGAUGCAACGCGAAGAACCUUACCUGGCCUUGACAUCCACGGAAUUUAGCAGAGAUGCUUUAGUGCCUUCGGGAACCGUGAGACAGGUGCUGCAUGGCUGUCGUCAGCUCGUGUUGUGAAAUGUUGGGUUAAGUCCCGCAACGAGCGCAACCCUUAUCCUUUGUUGCCAGCGAUUCGGUCGGGAACUCAAAGGAGACUGCCGGUGAUAAACCGGAGGAAGGUGGGGAUGACGUCAAGUCAUCAUGGCCCUUACGGCCAGGGCUACACACGUGCUACAAUGGCGCAUACAAAGAGAAGCGACCUCGCGAGAGCAAGCGGACCUCAUAAAGUGCGUCGUAGUCCGGAUCGGAGUCUGCAACUCGACUCCGUGAAGUCGGAAUCGCUAGUAAUCGUAGAUCAGAAUGCUACGGUGAAUACGUUCCCGGGCCUUGUACACACCGCCCGUCACACCAUGGGAGUGGGUUGCAAAAGAAGUAGGUAGCUUAAC